Molecule: ribosomal RNA, 274 nt
Filed under: uncultured bacterium
Lineage: Bacteria
Description: partial 16S ribosomal RNA
Rfam family: Bacterial small subunit ribosomal RNA
Source: RNAcentral
AUACGGAGGGUGCAAGCGUUACUCGGAAUCACUGGGCGUAAAGCGCGCGCAGGCGGCUUGAUAAGUUGGAUGUGAAAGCCUACGGCUCAACCGUAGAACUGCAUCCAAAACUGUCAGGCUAGAGUGUGAGAGAGGAAGAUGGAAUUAGUUGUGUAGGGGUAAAAUCCGUAGAGAUAACUAGGAAUACCAAAAGCGAAGGCAAUCUUCUGGAACACUACUGACGCUGAGGCGCGAAAGCGUGGGGAGCAAACAGAAUUAGAAACCCCAGUAGUCC